UGCUGACGCUGCCACUGCUGCCAACACAUGUAAAUUAAGACAGAUCUUAGGCCAGGCACAGUGGCUCAUGCCUGUAAUCCCAGCACUCUGGUGUGAAAUGCCUGGAUGUCCAGGCAAAAGUUUGUUGCAGGGGUGGAGCCCACAGGGAGAAUCUCUGCUAGGGCAGUGCAGAAGGAAAAUGUGGAGCUGGAGCCAGCACACAGAGUCCCCACUGGGGCACUGCCUAGUGGAGCUGUGAGAAGAGGGCCACUGACCUCCAGAUCCCAGAAAGGUAGAUCCACCAACA
Molecule: long non-coding RNA, 286 nt
Filed under: Pan troglodytes (chimpanzee)
Lineage: Eukaryota; Metazoa; Chordata; Mammalia; Primates; Hominidae
Description: long non-coding RNA NONPTRT012544
Source: RNAcentral